GACGAACGCUGGCGGCGUGCUUAACACAUGCAAGUCGAACGAUGAAGAAAAGAAUCGAAGCUUCGGCAGAAAUUCAUUUCGGAUUAGUGGCAGACGGGUGAGUAACGCGUGAGCAACCUACCUCUUACAAAGGGAUAGCCUCGGGAAACCGGGAUUAAUACCAUAUAACAUUGCGACGAAGCAUUUCGAUGCAAUCAAAGCUACGGCGGUAAGAGAUGGGCUCGCGUCCCAUUAACCGGAUGGUGAGGUAACGGCUCACCAUAGUGACGAUGGGUAACCGGCCUGAGAGGGUGAACGGUCACACUGAAACUGAGACACAGUCCAGACUCCUACGGGAGGCGGCAGUGGGGAAUAUUGCACAAUGGAGGGAACUCUGAUGCAGCGACGCCGCGUAAGUGAUGAAGGAAUUCGUUUCGUAAAACUCUGUUCUAUGGGAAGAAAAGGACUGUACCAAAGGAGAAAGCUCCGGCUAAAUACGUG
This 480-nucleotide ribosomal RNA is filed under the name uncultured bacterium. RNAcentral's name for it is "partial 16S ribosomal RNA". It matches the Rfam family "Bacterial small subunit ribosomal RNA", at positions 28 to 507 of the family's 1533-position model. The record is from RNAcentral.